Molecule: ribosomal RNA, 301 nt
Filed under: uncultured bacterium
Lineage: Bacteria
Description: partial 16S ribosomal RNA
Rfam family: Bacterial small subunit ribosomal RNA
Source: RNAcentral
CAGUCGCCGCGGUAAUACGGAGGGUGCAAGCGUUAAUCGGAAUUACUGGGCGUAAAGCGUGCGUAGGCGGUUCGUUAAGUCUGUUGUGAAAGCCCCGGGCUCAACCUGGGAAUGGCAAUGGAUACUGGCGAGCUAGAGUGUGUCAGAGGAUGGUGGAAUUCCCGGUGUAGCGGUGAAAUGCGUAGAGAUCGGGAGGAACAUCAGUGGCGAAGGCGGCCAUCUGGGACAACACUGACGCUGAGGCACGAAAGCGUGGGGAGCAAACAGGAUUAGAGACCCCGGUAGUCCCUGUCUCUUAUAA